GCAGACUAACCAACAAUUUGGGCCUCAUAUAUUAUUGGCAGAUGUAAUAAUAAUUCCUGUUGGCUUAUUUAAAAAAAAUAAAAAAUGAAUAGAUUUAAAUAUCCAGCCAUGUUAACACAUGAUGUCGUGGUUGGAACACAUCAGAGAGAAGACCAUCCCUGCAGGAGUUGGGUGAUAUCCGACUUAAAUUAGUGGAUGCAUUUUUACAGCAACCUUGACAUGACUGGAGAACUCAGUGGACCACAUGCACUUCAGGAGAAAAUCAAGGCAGACUGUUUUUCUCUCUCAAAGACUUUGAUGAACGGAAAUCGUAGUGGAUCACGCCCUCUAGAUUUGUUUUCUACCAAACUUCAGUUCCGGACUCAUCAUAUCUGCAUCUCAACUGGAGCAAAGUUUUCAACGUGUGAUCUAAUUUAUGACCGGGAUUUCUUCAGUCUACAGCCGCUCUCUGUCCAUGAGGGAUGGCGCAUGACAAGGGCUUCUGCAACAAACACAUGGAUUACAUUUACUACACUCUCCUCCAGACCAUCAAUAAGUCAAGACCCGUGGAAAUCCAACAAGGACAAAUAAUAUAAAGAUAAAAAUACCUCUCUACCACCCCCAAGAUGAAGCCAGACUGAUACUGUGCUUAUGUUCAUUAGCUCACUGUAAAAUAAGCUGUGGCGUGCCACAGGCAAGUGUGCUUGGGCUUCUGUUAUUCCUGCUGUACAUUACAGAUAUCAAGGAUGCUUUGCUCAAUGUCACCCGUGUCUUUAUGCAGAUGACUCUGCACUCCUGGUGUUUCACAUAAACCAAACCACUCUGGAGAGUAUACUGAGUGCAGGGCUCACUAACAUCAACAAGCUGUCUCCGCACCUCGGCAAAACAGAAGGAAUUCUGUUUGGGUCCAAAAUGAAACUAAGCGAGUCCUCAGACAUCAGGGUACAGCUAGCAGAACAGGUACUCGCAGCCAGAACAGCAGUUCAUUACUUAGGAUGUACACUAGAUGGCAACCUGGCAGGGGAGGAGUAUGGCUACUAAGGUACUAGGUAAAGUGUUAGUGUAAAGGACAUCACGCUGCUUUACACUGCUAGAGUAAGGGACAUCACGCUGCUUGCUUAGUGUCACGAGUGCCACUUCCUCCUGAUUCGGCUCACACCGAGGCUUGAACCCAGGACCUGAAGCGUCUUACCAGUCGGCGACACGGAAAAGCUAGCUAUUCGUUGGUGCAUGUGGGGAAUCUUCAGGCUGAGGAGUAUGUGCUACACCAGGACCAAAUUCUUGGCUAUGUAGUCUAAGCUGUUGGAAAAAGAUUCAAAGAAAGUGCUAGUGUGCUCAUCCAAUGUCCUUUUUUAUGCUAGCACCUCCUGGUUUGAAGGUUUAAUAAUCUACUAAAAAGCAAGCUCAGGAUAGCCCAGAACAAGUUUAAUCUGAGCCCACCUAGAGUACUCAUAUUGGUACCAGACAGUUUCAGGAGCUCAACUGGCUGCCCACUAAGUCAAGGGUCACACAGACCAGACUUAGUCGGGUUCAUAGGAUCAUUCAUGAAGCAGCUCCUAGGUAUUUUGUAAAUGUAAAUGUAAAUGUAAAUGUAAAAUGUAUUUUGUCUCACUUCCUUCCCCAUUUUAGAGACUCAAACAAACACAACAAUAGAGCUAACUAACGUGUUGUGUGUAGAAGCCUGGCAGGGAAAGGUUCUUUUUUAUAUUCAGGAGCCUCUGAGUGGAAUAGUCUGCCUCUGGUCUGUUAAAACUAUUCCUACUCUGAGAAGCUUAAAAAGGAAGGUGAAAUGCUGGUUAAUGGAUGUCCAAGUAGCCUUCUUUUGUCUAUAGUGUGUGUAUGUUGUUGUGCUCUCAUAUGACUAAGUAACUAUAUUGACUUGCCAUUUUAGCUUCUGUUUUUUUAUUUUGCCACAUGCCAUAUUUGACAAAUGCAUUCUUGAAAGAGGACCACAAUUGAAAUAGGUUGUAGACUUUCUUGUGUUUAUCUUCAACGAUUCUUAAUCAUGUGCAUCAAUUUGAACAUGUACUUUGUUUUUAAAUAUCCAAUAAAAAU
Molecule: long non-coding RNA, 2034 nt
Organism: Oncorhynchus keta (chum salmon)
Lineage: Eukaryota; Metazoa; Chordata; Actinopteri; Salmoniformes; Salmonidae
Exons: 3
Source: RefSeq, a predicted model, not a curated record